Molecule: ribosomal RNA, 440 nt
Filed under: uncultured bacterium
Lineage: Bacteria
Description: bacterial SSU rRNA
Rfam family: Bacterial small subunit ribosomal RNA
Source: RNAcentral
AACGCGAAGAACCUUACCAAGGCUUGACAUCGCCCGAAAACUCGUAGAGAUACGGGGUCCCUCUGGGGCGGGUGACAGGUGGUGCAUGGCUGUCGUCAGCUCGUGUCGUGAGAUGUUGGGUUAAGUCCCGCAACGAGCGCAACCCUCGUUCCAUGUUGCCAGCACGUAAUGGUGGGGACUCAUGGGAGACUGCCGGGGUCAACUCGGAGGAAGGUGGGGAUGACGUCAAGUCAUCAUGCCCCUUAUGUCUUGGGCUGCAAACAUGCUACAAUGGCCGGUACAGAGGGCUGCGAUACCGUGAGGUGGAGCGAAUCCCUAAAAGCCGGUCUCAGUUCGGAUCGCAGUCUGCAACUCGACUGCGUGAAGUCGGAGUCGCUAGUAAUCGCAGAUCAGCAACGCUGCGGUGAAUACGUUCCCGGGCCUUGUACACACCGGUACUA